GGUGGCUCACUGGUAGAGCACUUGCCUUGCAUGCAUGAGGCCCUGGGUUCAAUUCCUCAGCACCA
Molecule: transfer RNA, 65 nt
Filed under: Dipodomys ordii (Ord's kangaroo rat)
Lineage: Eukaryota; Metazoa; Chordata; Mammalia; Rodentia; Heteromyidae
Rfam family: tRNA
About the family: Transfer RNA (tRNA) molecules are approximately 80 nucleotides in length. Their secondary structure includes four short double-helical elements and three loops (D, anti-codon, and T loops). Further hydrogen bonds mediate the characteristic L-shaped molecular structure. tRNAs have two regions of fundamental functional importance: the anti-codon, which is responsible for specific mRNA codon recognition, and the 3' end, to which the tRNAs corresponding amino acid is attached (by aminoacyl-tRNA synthetases). tRNAs cope with the degeneracy of the genetic code in two manners: having more than one tRNA (with a specific anti-codon) for a particular amino acid; and 'wobble' base-pairing, i.e. permitting non-standard base-pairing at the 3rd anti-codon position.
Source: Rfam by way of RNAcentral